UUACUCAGAUCCUGCCCAAACAGGUAUCAGAACCCUGCCUGUGAGGGGACAAUGAGCUCUGGGCACAGAGGCUGCUGGGAACCAGGGAGACGUGGGCAAGGGGCCACCAACAGAGUUGAAGGAGAAGCCAAAGGAAUCAAGGGGAGAAGGUGGGGAGAUAUGCCAGGAGUCUGACAUGGCUUGGCCAUAGUGCAUAUGUAUAUGGCAUGGGAGGGAGGAUGGGAUGGCUGAAAGAAGAGUCCCCUCCCACUGGAGCCUAGCUAUCCUACUACCUAUUACAUUCAAGAGAGCUGGAGUGAACUGGAAAAGGUGCAAGAAAAGAGUUCUGGAAUGAGUUGAAGUAAGGCACUGAAUGAAGGGGCCAUGGGAAUGCUCAGAGGAGUAGAUGCCAGGAACAGCUGCCCUGCCCCAGAUCACUGACUGCCAUACCCAAUGCCUUAUCGACUGCCCUCCAGGCCUCCACUACACCUCAGGGAAGUGCCUUGAUUGUCCCGUUGGCUCCUACUGUCUGGGAGGCAGAACAGCUCCAAGACUGUGUCCAGUGGGAACAUUCAGCAGGACCACUGGCCUUGGGGCUAUCACAGGUUGCCAGGUUUGCCCCACAGGAAAAAUCAGCUCAGAGACUGGAAGCCAUUGCCGGGCCUGCCCAGAUGGCUAUGCCUGUGACCCCCAUAUAGGGGUCCUGGGAAGCUGUAGGCCUGGGGAGUACUCACCUGAAGGGGAGCUUUGGUGUAAGCCAUGUCCCAUUGGCCAUUUCUGCCCUGAUGGAAGGGUCAGAGAGCAUUGCCCAUCAGGACAGGAGCCAAGUCCUCAGCUCACAAGAUGUGUCCUCUGCCCUCUUGGUUAUUUCUCCCUGGGAGGAGACCCAGGCUGCCAGCCUUGUCCUGAAGGACAUUAUUGUCCCUUCCUUGGGACAACCCAGCCUCUCCUGUGCCCACCAAACUCUUCUGCUGGUACCCUUGGACAAACCAAGUGCCAGGACUGUGGAGAGGGAGGCCAAUGUGUGGAUGGUGAACACCAAGAGGAAGCACUCAUUCAGUCUACAGAGCCACCUCCAUCAGAAAAAGAAGAGCAUAAGUGUCCACUUUGCCCAUCAGGUCACUUCUCCCCUGAUGGCAUCACCAUCCCUCCAUGCCCAUCUGGAAGCUUUGAAGCCCAGAAAGAGAGCCCACAGCUCAUCAAAGAGACCAUCUCUUGCUCAACAGACCUGGGAAUGUGUCUACGGUGCCCAGCUGGACAUUUCUGUCCCAAGGGAGCCACCUACCCCAGCCCAUGCCAAGCUGGCACAUUCAGCCCUCUCCCUGGACAAGAUGAAGCGGCAGAUUGCAUUCCAUGCCCAGCAGGCAGAGCCUGUACCCAGACUGGGCUGGCCCAGCCAGACUCAGAGUGCUUCCCGGGGUAUGUGUGUCCCAUUGGAUCCUCCAGUCCGUACUCCCUCAACAAUGCCUGCCCCCCAGGAACCUUCAGUGAUCGUACUGACCUCUUUGACCUGUCUCAGUGUGAGUCUUGUCCAGCUGGACUGGUUUGUACUGGGGGAACUGGAGGUGUGGAUAGACCUCCUGGGCAAUGCCCCACUGGCCACUACUGCCCUGUUGGCACAAAGCACCCAACCCAGUUCCAGUGUCCAGCAGGUACCUGGAGCAACCAGACAGGUCUAGCCUCAGAAAAAGAAUGUGUGCUGUGCCCAGCUGGCUGGUUCUGUGUCCUUGGAACUCACACCCCUUCAGGACGGUGCCUUGCAGGACAUUACUGCCCUCCAGGUUCACAGUGGGGUACCCAAUUUCCAUGCCCACCUGGUACCUACAGUUUCCAAAUGGGCAAUGACCAACCAGCUAAUUGUACCAGCUGCCCCCCUGGAGCCUACUGUCCCAGUGGAUCCCCCAAACCUGUGUUCUGCCCAGGGGGAACAUUCCAAGUACAUCCAGGUGCUCAGAUGAUUGGUGACUGUGCCCUUUGCCCUGAAGGGCAUCACUGCCCUGAGCUUGGAACAAUGACUCCCGUACCAUGUGCUGCUGGCAGCUACUCUAGCUCUGGUCAGCUACUAUGCCAGGAAUGCCCAGAAGGAAAAUUCUGCAAUGGCACUGGGGUAGCUGAACCUUCAGUAUGUCCUCCUGGGCAUUACUGCCCAGCAAAGAGUAUACUUCCCAACCCAUGUCCAGUGGGCACUUUCCGAGAGGCUCCAGGUGCAACUAGCAUGGACUUGUGCCAGCCAUGCUGCCCAGGCAGGUUCUGUAGCAAAACUGGCCUGAAAGAACCAGAAGGUCUAUGUGAUCCUGGGUACUACUGUGGACCUGGGUCCAAUACUUCCUCUCCGGUGGGGUUUUCCUUUGGUGACUUCUGCCCAAAGGGCCAUUACUGCCCUGCUGGCACUGCAGACACAGAACAGACACCCUGCCCAGCUGGCACCUGGAAUAAGAAGAAAGGGGCACAGGAUGCUAGCUGGUGUCUAUCCUGCCCUCCUGGCUUUUUCUGUGAUGUCGCCGGCAGUGCUGCCCCAGGAGGUCCAUGUGCCCCAGGAUUCUUCUGCACGGGAGGGACACAGACCCCAAGGCCAGUUGGUGGAGCAGGUGGAGAUCUUUGUCCCACUGGUCAUGCCUGCCCCGAAGGCUCCUCCUUUGCCAUCCCCUGCCUGGAUGGGCAGCAUAGCAAUGGAACAGGCCAGAAGAGCUGCCUCCCCUGCCCAGCAGGGUCUUACUGCCCAGGUGGUCAAAAGAAGCUCUGUCCCCCUGGCUCUUAUUGUCCCAAGGGGACCGGCAGUUCCCCCUGUCCCUGUCCCCCAGGGACAUUUGGUCCAUUUCUUGGGUUGAGCCAGAUGCAGGACUGCCAGCCGUGUCCAGCAGGAAUGUUCUGUGAAGAGCAGGGGCUCAAAUCACCCAGUGGUCCUUGCCAGUCGGGCUUCUUCUGCUCCGGAGGUAUCAGUAAAGCCAUCUCCAAGAAAAAGGAAGAAGGAUCAGAACAACCAAUAUAUGUGGCACCACUAAAGAGCAAACCUAUUCCAUCCUUCUCACCCUGACCCUCACCAUUCCACCACUCUCCUUCUGUCCCUCUGUCCUUAUGAGAUAAUGUAGGUGUACCCUCUUAGUAAAAGAGCUUGGACAGUUUUAUUCUCUCUGUCUAUAUUGGCUUUCUGUGGGGGAGUACCUUUCCUGCCACUAACCACAGUGAGAAAAAGUUUCUAUUGGGAAUAGGAGACCUUGACCUAUUAUUUCAAUUAAAUCUCCAACUCCUAGGAAGACUGUCUCCCUAGAUCCUUAGAUCUAAAGUUUGCCUUAUGAUUGGCAAAGGAGGAGGGCGGGGUCCUGCCAGGAAAGGGAC
This is a long non-coding RNA of Monodelphis domestica (gray short-tailed opossum), 3315 nucleotides long. NCBI's taxonomy places the organism in Eukaryota, Metazoa, Chordata, Mammalia, Didelphimorphia, Didelphidae. The record is from Ensembl.